Long non-coding RNA from Caretta caretta (loggerhead turtle), 1326 nucleotides. RefSeq lists it as uncharacterized. NCBI's taxonomy places the organism in Eukaryota, Metazoa, Chordata, Testudines, Cheloniidae. The record is from RefSeq and is a predicted model, not a curated record.
CACACACCCCGCCCGACAGCCCGGCGCGGUCCCUGCCCUGGGUCGCCUGCGUUCCCACGGGCAGCCGGAGCGCACGGCCGGCUUGCAAAGGAUCUGCUGCACCCAGGGGCGGCCUCGGGAGCCUGGCCCCACGUGCGCCUCUGCCACCCCCUGUCCAGGGCACUGUGCUCCCCAGUAGGAUGCGCUCGGAAGGAAGCGAGGGGCCAACCCUGAGCCCCGCUCCGUCGGGCCCCGGGCGUGUCCCGGCUCCCCCAGCGGUUCCAAGGCUUUCGCUCGACGUCGCCUGUCCCUGUGGUAUCUGCUCCACUUUAUCACCACGGCUCUCCAUCCUCAGCACUGCCCAAUCUGCCUGACCCUGUAGGUACGCCCCAUGAGGGGCAGGCUCAUCUCGCCAGGGGCCAUGUUUAGUGUCUGCCUGUCACCAUCUCUGCACUGGUCCUACCUGCUGCCCUGUCCUCAGGAGUCCCCCAGCAGCUCUCUCCAGGUCUCAGAGUCCUGACCCCACUCUCUGGAAGGUGGGGAUUGUUAAACCCAUUUUGUGGCAUGGGGGAAAGGAGGUGACACAACUUGCUCCAACUUACACAGUUAGAGUAGGUGGAAGAGUCAGAAAGAGAACCCAGGAGUCCUGCCUGCCCAGUCUCCCGCGCUAGCUGCAAUACCAUGUGUUUGAGAGUGACUCAGCUGGCCUCAGAGCUCCAGACAGCACGUCCAGCUCCCCCGCCCCCACAUGGCUACCUGUGGGCACCUGCUCAGGGGACGUGAAAGCAGCGAGCCAGCUGAAGACGGGCACCUCCGAUCAGAGCCAAAGCGCAUUGAAGUCAAUGGAACGACUCCAGCUGGAUCAGAUCCCUAUCACUGCAAUGCCACGCUGGGCCCUGAGAGCUGCGGGUGCAGGUGUGGCACCUCUGGGAUCGAAGGCAAAAUCCUGGCAGCAGGCAGGCCAAAGCAAGGAGCCAGACUCACAAGACUCCAGCAGCCUCUGACACCCCUGUGGAAGGUCAUCGAUAAAGAUGUUAAAUAGCAAAGGGCCAAGAACCGACCCCUGCAGGACCCCACUGGAAACACAUCUACUUGAUGACGAGUCCCCAUUUCCAGUUACAAGUUGAAACCUACCCAUUACCCAGUUUUUAAUCCAUUUAAUGUUAUAUUGUUCUACCUUUUUAAUCCAAAUGUUGUGCACUACCAAGUCAUAGACCUUACAGAAAUCUAAGCAUAUUACAUCAACACUAUUACCUUUAUCAACCAAACUUGUAAUCUCAUCAAAAAAAGAUAUCAAGUUACUUUGACAUGAUCUGUUUUUCAUAAACUCACGUUGAUUUGCAUUAA